This 421-nucleotide ribosomal RNA is filed under the name Ceranisus bozovaensis. RNAcentral describes it as "eukaryotic LSU rRNA". The record is from RNAcentral. Lineage: Eukaryota; Metazoa; Arthropoda; Insecta; Hymenoptera; Eulophidae.
CCUGAGAAACCCAAAAGAUCGAAUGGGGAGAUUCACCGUCAGCGCGGCUGGCUUCCGUGCGGUUCGCGAUGGCCGGGACCUCGGUCUCGCGUCACGCGUCCGCUGCGGCAUGUCCGGCUACGUCGGCGUGCACUUCUCCCCUAGUAGGACGUCGCGACCCGUUGGGUGUCGGACCGAUGGCCGUUUGGUCGCCUGUCUCGUCGCGUUCACGCGUGCACGGGGCAGACCGAAAUGGUCGAGCGUCCGGCUGCCCGGCGGUAUAGAACGCUAUUGAACGGUAAUGGGCCGCAUUAAGUGCGUCCAGGCUCGUCGGCAGGCUCGUCUCGCCCGGAUUUACGGACCUAGCGCCGUUGCCGGGUGCUUGGCGUGGCCGUUAGUCGACGAUGUCCUCGGACUGGCUCUAAAAUUCGAAAGGAUUACC